Molecule: long non-coding RNA, 2482 nt
Organism: Oncorhynchus tshawytscha (Chinook salmon)
Lineage: Eukaryota; Metazoa; Chordata; Actinopteri; Salmoniformes; Salmonidae
Source: Ensembl
GGAACCUCCAUCCCAUUAUGCCAUCAUUGACUUGAAUUGGGUGGUUCAUUCUAAAGGUUCUAUUUGUAAUGAGUCACACAGCUUGAAUGGGGCGGUUCAUUCUAAAGGUUCUAUUUGUAAUGAGUCACACAGCUUGAAUGGGGCGGUUCAUUCUAAAGGUUAUAUUUGUAAUGAGUCACACAGCUUGAAUGGGGCGGUUCAUUCUAAAGGUUAUAUUUGUAAUGAGUCACACAGCUUGAAUGGGGCGGUUCAUUCUAAAGGUUCUAUUUGUAAUGAGUCACACAGCUUGGCAUAUAGAACACAGCGUGUUAAGUUAUUGUUCUCACUGAACAACCGCACCAACGCUUAAAGUCCAAGGACUACUGUCAUAUGUACAAAAAUCUGGAUUUAUUUUUCUUUAAAAUAGUCUGACAACCAACAUUUAACAUGAGGUUCAGUAUAAACAAAUGAUACACUUGAAAUAAAUCAUAUAUCCUUUGUUUAUCUGUUGGAUUCUCUUCAGAUUUCGGUUUAAAAUAUUUACAAAUGUAGCAUGAAGUGUAAGGGUUUCUCUCUUGGUUUCCCACAAUUAAAUGGAGUCUGUUGUCAUAUACGGUUCAGAACACUGCAGUCAUAAAGAACAGCAUCAAACCAACACUGAGUUUUGUUUGCCAAGGCCUGAUGGGGCAUUCCCUACUUGGGUACAAAGUUACUGUGAGAUGGCCUACUUGGAAGUGAUACAGCUUUUGAAUGAUCUAGUAGUGCCAAAUGACUUGCGAUCUAGCAACAAAUUAUCUGUCUUGAUGUGUUAAUAAAACCAUUCACCUGAGGGAUGUAUUUGAAGGAAACUCCCCCCCUUCCCCCAGAGUCUUUAAAAAGGCUACUUCCUUGAGCGGGCCUCUAUCAGUGUGAACUGCGUUGGGUUUAACUUGCACUACACACAACACACUAUACACACUACACACAAAACGGCACCUUCAGAACAUAUUCACACCUUGACUUUUUCCACAUUUUGUUGUUAGAGCCUGAAAUUUCAAAAUGAUUCAAUUAAGAUUUAAAAAAAAUAAUAAUAAUAAUUGUCACUGGCAAAAUAUCCCAUAAUGUCAAAGUGGAAUGAUGUUUUUUUUAAAUGAAUUACACAUGAAAAGCUGAAAUGUCUUUAGUUAAAUAUGUAUUCAACCCUGUUGUUAUGGAAACGCCUAAAUAUGUUCCGGAGUAAAAAUGUGCUUAAGUCACAUAACAUAAUUCUUUCUUAAAUGACUACCUCAUCUCUGUACCUCUGUACCCCAUAUACCCCACAUAUACACAUAACCAAACAGAUUCAAUCACAAAGACCAGGGAGGUUUUUCAAUGCCUCAAACAGCACCUAUUGGUAGAUGUUUUUUUUAUUUUUUAACUCAGACAUUGAAUAUCCGUUUGAGUAUGGUGGAGUUGUUAAAAUACACUUUAGAUGGUGUAUCAAUACAUCCAGUCACUACAAAGAUACAGGUGUACCUCCUAACUCAGUUGCCGGAGAGGAAGGAAACUGCUCAGGGAUUUCACUAUGAGGCCAAUGGUGACUUUAAAAACAGUUACAGAGUUUAAUGGCUGUAAUAGGAGAAAACUGAGGAUGGGUCAACAACAUUGUUGUUACUCCACAAAACUAACCUAAUUGACAGAAUGAAAAUAACUGUUUGUCUGGAAUACAAAGUGAUAUGUUCGGGAUAAACUCUCCAGAUUUUCAAGCAAAGUGGUUGCUGCAUCAUGUUAUGUGUAUGCUUGUAAUCAUUAAGGAUUGUGGAGUUUUUCAGGAUAAAAAAAUAAAUGGAAUCGAGCUAAGCACAGACAAAAUCCUAGAGGAAAACCUUGUUCAGUCUGCUUUCCACUAGACACUGGGAGAUGAAUUCACCUUUCAGCAGAAUAAUAACAUAAACACAAGGCCAAAUCUAAACUGGAGUUGCUUACCAAGCCACAGUGAAUGUUCUUGAGUGGCCGAGUUACAGUUUUGACUUAAAUCUACGGCAAGACUUGAAAAUGGUUGUCUAGCAAGAAUGACAGAGCUUGAAGAAUUUUAAAAAGAAUAAUGGGCAAAUGUUGCACAAUCCAGGUGUGGAAAGCUCUUAGAGAUUUACACAGAGAGGUGCCAACGGUGCUUCUACAAAGUAUUGACUCAGGUGUGUGAAUACUUAUGUAAAAAAAAAAAAACGUGUUUUUACUUUGUCAUUAUGGAAUAUUGUGACAUUCUAAUUUUGUGUGUACAUAGGUUAGAAAAAAAUUAAAGUUAAUUUAAUACAUUUUCAAGUAAGGUUGUAACAACAACAUACGAGAGAGAGAGAGAGAGAGAGACAGACAGAGAGAGGGACACAUUGAGAGAGAGGGAGAGAGACAGAGAGAGUGAGAGAGAGGGAGAGACAGAGAGAGAGGGACACAUUGAGAGACAGAGAGAGAGAGAGACACAUUGAGAGAGAGAGAGAGAGAGAGACAGAGACAGAGGGAGAGGGAGAGAGAGAGACAGAGAGGGAGA